Molecule: ribosomal RNA, 253 nt
Filed under: uncultured bacterium
Lineage: Bacteria
Description: partial 16S ribosomal RNA
Rfam family: Bacterial small subunit ribosomal RNA
Source: RNAcentral
UACAGAGGUCUCAAGCGUUGUUCGGAUUCAUUGGGCGUAAAGGGUGUGUAGGUGGCGCGCUAAGUCGGGUGUGAAAUUUCGGAGCUUAACUCCGAAACUGCAUUCGAUACUGGCGUGCUUGAGGACUGGAGAGGAGACUGGAAUUCAUGGUGUAGCAGUGAAAUGCGUAGAUAUCGUAAGGAAGACCAGUGGCGAAGGCGGGUCUCUGGACAGUUCCUGACACUGAGACACGAAGGCCAGGGGAGCAAACGGG